GUGGGGAAUCUUCCGCAAUGGGCGAAAGCCUGACGGAGCAAUGCCGCGUGAGUGAUGAAGGGAUUCGUCCCGUAAAGCUCUGUUGUCUAUGACGAAUGUGCAUGUUGUGAACAAUGACGUGUAAUGACGGUAGUAGACGAGGAAGCCACGGCUAACUACGUGCCAGCAGCCGCGGUAAUACGUAGGUGGCGAGCGUUGUCCGGAAUUAUUGGGCGUAAAGAGCAUGUAGGCGGUUUUUUAAGUCUGGAGUGAAAAUGCGGGGCUCAACCCCGUAUGGCUCUGGAUACUGGAAGACUUGAGUGCAGGAGAGGAAAGGGGAAUUCCCAGUGUAGCGGUGAAAUGCGUAGAUAUUGGGAGGAACACCAGUGGCGAAGGCGCCUUUCUGGACUGUGUCUGACGCUGAGAUGCGAAAGCCAGGGUAGCGAACGGGA
This 431-nucleotide ribosomal RNA is filed under the name uncultured bacterium. RNAcentral's name for it is "bacterial SSU rRNA". It matches the Rfam family "Bacterial small subunit ribosomal RNA", at positions 354 to 777 of the family's 1533-position model. The record is from RNAcentral.